This 320-nucleotide ribosomal RNA is filed under the name uncultured eukaryote. Its description in RNAcentral is "partial 18S ribosomal RNA". It matches the Rfam family "Eukaryotic small subunit ribosomal RNA", at positions 1470 to 1796 of the family's 1831-position model. The record is from RNAcentral.
CCCUUAGAUGUUCUGGGCCGCACGCGCGCUACACUGAACAGUUCAACAAGUCUUAACCUUGGCCGAUAGGUCUGGGUAAUCUUUGAACGCUGUUCGUGAUUGGGAUAGACCUUUGCAAUUAUGGGUCUUCAACGAGGAAUUCCUAGUAAACGCAAGUCAUCAGCUUGCAUUGAUUGCGUCCCUGCCCUUUGUACACACCGCCCGUCGCACCUACCGAUUGAAUGGUCCGGUGAAAUCUCGGGACGGCGGCUUGGUCGCUUGCGUCCGACUGCUGAAACUUGAUUAAACCAUAUCAUUUAGAGGAAGGUGAAGUCGUAACA